This 279-nucleotide long non-coding RNA is filed under the name Gossypium barbadense (sea-island cotton). RNAcentral describes it as "long non-coding RNA (GBAR_LNC021641)". Lineage: Eukaryota; Viridiplantae; Streptophyta; Magnoliopsida; Malvales; Malvaceae. The record is from RNAcentral.
UUGCAUGUGACUCUGAUUCUGCAUGAGACAUUCAUCAGUAACUGUUUUAUUAUGUAUUCAAUUGAUUCUAUUUUUGUUAGUUACACACUGAGUUAUAAAACUCACUCUUUGUUUGUUUGUUACUUUCAGGUAACCCUCAAACUUAGGUGGGUUGGUGCGAUAAGAGCUCGGAUAUGUCCACAAUUCCGUAAAACUCUAUUUACAUAAAUUUGACUUCUUUAAAAUUUCGUUUUGAGAGUUUUGUAAUUUUUUAUCUCUCUUGACAUUUUGGGUUUAUUU